Molecule: ribosomal RNA, 491 nt
Filed under: uncultured bacterium
Lineage: Bacteria
Description: partial 16S ribosomal RNA
Rfam family: Bacterial small subunit ribosomal RNA
Source: RNAcentral
AGUGAACGCUGGCGGUAGGCCUAACACAUGCAAGUCGAACGGCAGCACAGUAAGAGCUUGCUCUUACGGGUGGCGAGUGGCGGACGGGUGAGGAAUACAUCGGAAUCUACUUUUUCGUGGGGGAAACGUAGGGAAACUUACGCUAAUACCGCAUACGACCUACGGGUGAAAGCAGGGGAUCUUCGGACCUUGCGCGAUUGAAUGAGCCGAUGUCGGAUUAGCUAGUUGGCGGGGUAAAGGCCCACCAAGGCGACGAUCCGUAGCUGGUCUGAGAGGAUGAUCAGCCACACUGGAACUGAGACACGGUCCAGACUCCUACGAGAGGCAGCAGUAGGGAAUAUUGGACAAUGGGCGCAAGCCUGAUCCAGCCAUACCGCGUGGGUGAAGAAGGCCUUCGGGUUGUAAAGCCCUUUUGUUGGGAAAGAAAAGCAGCAGGUUAAUACCCCGCUGUUCUGACGGUACCCAAAGAAUAAGCACCGGCUAACUUCGUG